GACGACUCCUACAAACCGUCUCACUCUGCCAGAGCGUUUUCUGUCGGGUGUCAGCUGGACUCGUGUGUGACACCAGUGUCCAGCUGGAGCUGCGGAGGAACCCAACAGCUCUCAUCCCCACAGGACAGAUGGAAACCUUAAGAGCAGAUUCCAGGGUUCUCACAAUUAUGGCAAGUUGUCCAGGCUGAGAAGCAACACAGCAGAGCCAGGCGAUCAGAUCGCCAUCACCGCUAUUCUGAAAUACUUUGUCAGUUUUCCAGCACAUGUAGUGAAAUGCACACCUUCCAAAAAUUCCACUUUUGUCUCAUCAGCCCACAGAAUAUCUUUGAAAAACUCUAAGGCAGUGAUCUCCAACUCCAGUCCUCAAGUUCAUCACACCUUAGAUGUUGUUCUGUUCUGACCUCCUGGCUACUGGUAGGCCAGUUCAUCACUGUUCCAGAGUCAACACGACGACAUGUUUAAGAUUCAACCAUUCAUGAUCACAUUUCACCUUUACGUGGAAUGUACGUUCUCCCAGCAGUUUCGGACUGUGGAACAAAAACCAGAGAGCAGAAAGGAUUAGUGCAUGCAGAGGAAGAACAAAGUUCACAUUACUGGUCCUGAUAGGAGAUUUGAAUCCAGGACAUCCUUGCUGAGUAUUGUGUUGCUUCUGCAUGAAUUCUGAUCAAAGAAUACUUUGGUUACAUUUGAGGCCAUGUGUCCAACAGCUGCGGCUUGGUCCAAGAAAGAUCCAGCAAGACGAGACAAUAGGGGCAAGCUCAGCAGCAACUCUGAGAGAGAAUGGCGAUAAAAACAGGUAUUCGAAGUGACUCUCAGGCCAUUAACCAUAAAAUUAUGCAAAUUAGAAUAAAAAAAAUACAUUUGCUCAAUAGAAACAGCAAUUUUGAAAAAAAAACAACUCACUUUUUUUAUACGUUUUUGUGCCAGGGUCAGGUGGUUUGCAGGUAUUUCGCCAACCUGCAAUAGAAAACACUUUUUUUGCAUCACACAAGUCACAUGAUCAGCAGCCAGAUGUUACUGCUGUGAAGAUGACAGGAGGAGGGUGAUGGUGUGGUAUGUUUUUAAUGACGUAUCGCCUGAACAAAUUUAUUCAAGUGUGAUUUUAAUCGCGUUUCUUGUCUAAUGGAAACACCACAAUUGCAAAAUUGUGUCUUUAUGACGUUAGCAGAACAUCAACAGCGUUGUGAACACAUUUGUAAUGGAGACGCAGCUAUGGAAACCAAUGGACUGUUAUCAUCCCGUGGGCUUUAAUUUACCCUUGAAUUCUCUUGGCAUUGUACCUACAUCUACUUAAAAACAAAAAAAGAGUACAUAAGAGUGCUUUUUUUUCACAACUUACCUUGAGAAGUAUAAGAUUCAAAGUCUACAGUAAGCAUGAUCAGAGGAUCUGUGAGGCCAGCAGAUGGACAUGGAGAGGAAAUGCCUCGAGACAUGCGCUGGAUUGUGGAAUAUCCCUGGCAGUUGGGUGAGGCAGGAUUAGUUUACACUCGGUCAUGGCUUUCACAGUAACUCUAUCUCUGGGAUAUGCAAGCUUCACCCAGCCUGCACUAUAAAGCACUGGGCCCUCUCA
Gambusia affinis (western mosquitofish) is the source of this 1570-nucleotide long non-coding RNA. RefSeq lists it as uncharacterized. The transcript has 3 exons. Lineage: Eukaryota; Metazoa; Chordata; Actinopteri; Cyprinodontiformes; Poeciliidae. The record is from RefSeq and is a predicted model, not a curated record.